UCAUAUUUUGCAAUUUGAAUUUAUGUCUCUGUGCUCUGAUUGGCUGAUUGACGGAAGUGGGGAUGCAUUCCCGCAUUUCUCUUCAUGCAAUUUACCAACAACACCACUCCAUUACUAUUUUACUUACUAGUGGUGAACAAGGUAUUUUUUUGUGAGUGCUACGUUCUUGAGGUUAAUUUACCAAUCGUGGUGUAUAUUUCCUUUUAGUUAGCUGGGGCGCAGCCCCAGCCUCCUGCCACGAACUGUACGGCACCCUAGCUCCAUAAAAAACACUAUUCCACGUGUCGAGUUCCACGUUUUCGAGUUUAAUUGGUCGUGGGAUUAGAAGCACAAACACAACGAAAAGGCAAACGUCAUACUGGGAGAAAGUUGCAAUAAGAGACGACACACGUCGCCAGAGUUCCCGUGUGCAAGAAAAAGACCACACUAAUAACGCACCGCUGAGAUAAGUGCCAGAGUUGUGAAAUGUCACUUGUCAUUUCAGGAUGAUUCUAAAGGCCCGUCUACGGGACACAUGACCCACAUUAUUAUAACUACACCUAACGUAUAAAAUAAACAAAGAACAUGGAGCCACACUUCAAAUUGUUUCCAAAAUGCUUCUACAAAAAUUACUAUUUGCUUUAUCAAUUAGUUUCAAGUUUUGAGGAAAUUGUUGGAAUAAAGUACACAACUUGUGAACUCCUCUUUAGGAGCAUUGUUUUGAAACGUUUGACGUUUAACCUAACCUCACUUUUCUCUCAAUUGAAAUUAGUUAUUUAUUAAUCAAAGGCGUGAUAAAUCAGGGAAUAUAUUAUACGAGACUCUUGUAAUAUGCAACAAAUUAAUAAAUAUAUAAAUAAGAUUGCUCAAACA
This is a long non-coding RNA of Tribolium castaneum (red flour beetle), 852 nucleotides long. RefSeq lists it as uncharacterized. The record is from RefSeq and is a predicted model, not a curated record. The transcript is spliced from 2 exons. Lineage: Eukaryota; Metazoa; Arthropoda; Insecta; Coleoptera; Tenebrionidae.